Molecule: ribosomal RNA, 421 nt
Filed under: uncultured bacterium
Lineage: Bacteria
Description: bacterial SSU rRNA
Rfam family: Bacterial small subunit ribosomal RNA
Source: RNAcentral
AUCUUCCGCAAAGGGCGAAAGCCUGACGGAGCAACGCCGCGUGAGUGAUGAAGGCUUUCGGCUCGUAAAACUCGGUUAUUAGGGAAGAACAAAUGUGUAAGUAACUGUGCACAUCUUGACGGUACCUAAUCAGAAAGCCACGGCUCACUACGUGCCAGCAGCCGCGCGAAUACGUAGGUGGCAAGCGUUACCCGGAAUGAUUGGGCGUAAAGCGCGCGUAGGCGGUUUCUUAAGUCUGAUGUGAAAGCCCACGGCUCAACCGUGGAGGGUCAUUGGAAACUGGGAAACUUGAGUGCAGAAGAGGAAAGUGGAAUUCCAUGUGUAGCGGUGAAAUGCGCAGAGAUAUGGAGGAACACCAGUGGCGAAGGCGACUUUCUGGUCUGUAACUGACGCUGAUGUGCGAAAGCGUGGGGAUCAAACA